This 472-nucleotide ribosomal RNA is filed under the name uncultured bacterium. Its description in RNAcentral is "SSU rRNA". It matches the Rfam family "Bacterial small subunit ribosomal RNA", at positions 26 to 518 of the family's 1533-position model. The record is from RNAcentral.
AGGACGAACGCUGGCGGCGUGCUUAACACAUGCAAGUCGAGCGGAAAGGCCCUUCGGGGUACUCGAGCGGCGAACGGGUGAGUAACACGUGAGUAAUCUGCCCCUAGCUCUGGGAUAGCUCCGGGAAACCGGGAUUAAUACUGGAUACGACCACCUUAGACAUCUUUUGUGGUGGAAAGAAUUUCGGCUAGGGAUGAGCUCGCGGCCUAUCAGCUUGUUGGUGGGGUAACGGCCUACCAAGGCGACGACGGGUAGCCGGCCUGAGAGGGCGACCGGCCACACUGGGACUGAGACACGGCCCAGACUCCUACGGGAGGCAGCAGUGGGGAAUAUUGCGCAAUGGGCGAAAGCCUGACGCAGCGACGCCGCGUGGGGAUGAAGGCCUUCGGGUUGUAAACCCCUUCAGCAGGGACGAAGCGAAAGUGACGGUACCUGCAGAAGAAGCGCCGGCUAACUACGCGCCAGCAGCCGC